AGCAGCCGCGGUAAUUCCAGCUCCAAUAGCGUAUAUUAAAGUUGUUGCAGUUAAAAAGCUCGUAGUUGAAUUUUAGGCCUGGCCGGACGGUCCGUCUCUGGCGAGUACUGUUCUGUCGUCGGGUCUGUCCUUCUGGUGAGCCGGUAUGCUCUUAAUUGGGCGUGUCGGGGAACCAGGACCAUUACCUUGAAAAAUUAGAGUGUUUAAAGCAGGCUUUUGCUUGAAUAGAUUAGCAUGGAAUAAUAGAAUAGGACGUUGUGGUUCUAUUUUGUUGGUUCUAGGACCACCGUAAUGAUUAAUAGGGAUAGUUGGGGGCAUUAGUAUUCAAUUGUCAGAGGUGAAAUUCUUGGAUUUAUUGAAGACUAACUACUGCGAAAGCAUUUGCCAAGGAUGUUUUCAUUAAUCAAGAACGAAAGUUAGGGGAUCGAAGACGAUCAGAUACCGUCGUAGUCUUAACCAUAAACUAUGCCGACUAGGAAUCGGGCGACGUUAUUUUCACGACUCGCUCGGCGCCUUAUGG
RNAcentral lists this ribosomal RNA (520 nucleotides) under uncultured Archaeospora. RNAcentral describes it as "SSU rRNA". It matches the Rfam family "Eukaryotic small subunit ribosomal RNA", at positions 569 to 1093 of the family's 1831-position model. The record is from RNAcentral. Lineage: Eukaryota; Fungi; Glomeromycota; Glomeromycetes; Archaeosporales; Archaeosporaceae.